This 450-nucleotide ribosomal RNA is filed under the name uncultured bacterium. Its description in RNAcentral is "partial 16S ribosomal RNA". It matches the Rfam family "Bacterial small subunit ribosomal RNA", at positions 354 to 796 of the family's 1533-position model. The record is from RNAcentral.
GUGGGGAAUCUUCCGCAAUGGACGAAAGUCUGACGGAGCAACGCCGCGUGAGUGAUGAAGGUCUUCGGAUUGUAAAGCUCUGUUAAUCGGGACGAAAGAGCCUAGUGUGAAUAAUGCUAGGAAGUGACGGUACCGGAAUAGAAAGCCACGGCUAACUACGUGCCAGCAGCCGCGGUAAUACGUAGGUGGCAAGCGUUGUCCGGAAUUAUUGGGCGUAAAGCGCGCGCAGGCGGAUCUGCCAGUCUGUCUUAAAAGUUCGGGGCUUAACCCCGUGAUGGGAUGGAAACUACAGGUAUAGAGUAUCGGAGAGGAAAGUGGAAUUCCUAGUGUAGCGGUGAAAUGCGUAGAUAUUAGGAAGAACACCAGUGGCGAAGGCGACUUUCUGGACGAAAACUGACGCUGAGGCGCGAAAGCCAGGGGAGCGAACGGGAUUAGAUACCCUGGUAGUCC